AGUGGUGAUAGAGGUGCGAACUUCAAGAGUACAGGUAAAGAGGAGUAUGGGCUCCAUUGACAUGCCUGGAAAGGGGAGAAUCGCCGAAGUGGUUAUAGUCUCAUGCUAUAUCCGCUGGUCCUGCGUUUAAGAAAUGCAGGAUUGUCAAGAUGAUUCAAUCUUGGAGAGCUAUCUCACAA
The sequence is a regulatory RNA element, 179 nucleotides long. It matches the Rfam family "Lysine riboswitch aptamer". Rfam says of the family: Riboswitches are metabolite binding domains within certain messenger RNAs that serve as precision sensors for their corresponding targets. Allosteric rearrangement of mRNA structure is mediated by ligand binding, and this results in modulation of gene expression. The record is from Rfam.